UACGAGGGGGGCAAGCGUUGUUCGGAAUUAUUGGGCGUAAAGGGUGCGUAGGCGGUUUUGUAAGUCUUGUGUGAAAUCUUCAGGCUCAACUUGAAGACUGCACGAGAAACUGCAGGGCUUGAGUGUGGGAGAGGUGAGUGGAAUUCAUGGUGUAGCAGUGAAAUGCGUAGAGAUCAUGAGGAAGACCAGUGGCGAAGGCGGGUCUCUGGACAGUUCCUGACACUGAGGCACGAAGGCCAGGGGAGCAAACGGG
RNAcentral lists this ribosomal RNA (253 nucleotides) under uncultured bacterium. RNAcentral describes it as "partial 16S ribosomal RNA". It matches the Rfam family "Bacterial small subunit ribosomal RNA", at positions 524 to 776 of the family's 1533-position model. The record is from RNAcentral.